CCUACGGGAGGCAGCAGUGAGGAAUAUUGGUCAAUGGGCGGGAGCCUGAACCAGCCAAGCCGCGUGAGGGAAGAAGGUACAGCGUAUCGUAAACCUCUUUUGUCAGGGAACAAAGGCGGGGACUAGUCCCCGGAUGAGGGUACCUGAAGAAAAAGCAUCGGCUAACUCCGUGCCAGCAGCCGCGGUAAUACGGAGGAUGCGAGCGUUAUCCGGAUUUAUUGGGUUUAAGGGGUGCGCAGGCGGCCUGUUAAGUCAGCGGUAAAAGCCCGGGGCUCAACCCCGGCGAGCCGUUGAAACUGGCGGGCUGGAGUUGGAGAGAAGUACGCGGAAUGCGCGGUGUAGCGGUGAAAUGCUUAGAUAUCGCGCAGAACCCCGAUUGCGAAGGCAGCGUACCAAGCUACUUCUGACGUUGAGGCACGAAAGCGUGGGGAGCAAACAGGAUUAGAUACCCUAGUAGUC
RNAcentral lists this ribosomal RNA (459 nucleotides) under uncultured bacterium. Its description in RNAcentral is "partial 16S ribosomal RNA". It matches the Rfam family "Bacterial small subunit ribosomal RNA", at positions 338 to 795 of the family's 1533-position model. The record is from RNAcentral.